GAUGAAGAACGCAGCGAAAUGCGAUAAGUAAUGUGAAUUGCAGAAUUCAGUGAAUCAUCGAAUCUUUGAACGUACAUUGCGCCCAUUAGUAUUCUAGUGGGCAUGCCUGUUCGAGCGUCAUUAAGUCCACUUAAGCCCUGCUUAGUGUUGGGAGACUGCUCCAGCGGUGCUACCCUGUAGCUACCCUGCAGCUCCUCAAAGACAGCGGCGGAGUUGUGGUAUCCUCUGAGCUUAGUAACUUGUUCUAGCUUUCGAGUACACCACUUCCCCUGCCGUAAAACCCUUAAUUUUUAAUGGUUGACCUCGGAUCAGGUAGGAAUACCCGCUGAACUUAAGCAUAUCAAUAAGCGGAGGA
This 355-nucleotide unclassified non-coding RNA is filed under the name soil metagenome. RNAcentral describes it as "partial contains 5.8S ribosomal RNA, internal transcribed spacer 2, and large subunit ribosomal RNA". The stretch from base 1 to 120 matches the Rfam family "5.8S ribosomal RNA", at positions 35 to 154 of the family's 154-position model. The record is from RNAcentral.